UUCAGGUCAUUAUGCUCACUGGUAUCAGAAAACAUGGUUGAAGGAAUGCCAUGCAUUGAGCAAGUCGAUCAAGUGUGUGACGGCUACAUGAUCGCCAAGCAAAAAAGGUUGCCAUUCCCAGCACAAGCAGCAUUCAGAGCUCAGCGACAACUUGAGCUUUGGCAUGGCGACCUCUGUGGGCCAAUUACUCCAGUGACACCUGGUGGCAAGCAGUAUUUUCUCCUGUUGGUUGAUGACUUUUCCAGAUUCAUGUGGGUUGUCCUGCUGAAGGAAAAGGAUGAGGCGUUUGCAGCAAUUAAGAAAGUGCAAGCAGCAGCAGAACUUGAGAAGAGCAUGAAACUCAAGGCACUGCACACUAACAGGGGUGGGGAGUUCAAUUCGAAGGAGUUUGCUAGCUACUGUGAUGAACAUGGCAUCAAACAUUUUCGCACCGCUCCCUAUACUCCUCAGCACAAUGGCAUGGUAGAGCGCAGAAAUCAGACAGUAGUGAGUAUGGCAAGAAGCCUCCUAAAGAGCAUGGGGGGGCCGUCCAGAUUCUGGGGAGAGGCGGUGACGACUGCAGUAUACCUCUUAAAUAGGGCCCCAAUGAAAAGUGUUAAAGGUAUGACACCUUAUGAAGCAUGGUAUGGAAGGAAACCUUCAGUGAAGCACUUGAGAACGUUCGGCUGCACAGCUCAUGUGAAGAUAAUUGGGCCAGGACUGUCCAAACUGUCUGACAGAAGUAAACAGAUGGUUUUUAUUGGGUACGAGAGUGGUUCCAAAGCCUAUCGCAUGUACGACCCUGAAAGUAAGAAACUGGUCGUGACACAUGAUGUAGUGUUUGAGGAGAACAGACCUUGGGAUUGGAAUCAUCAAGUAUCAACCCAAGACGAUGUGCAGGAGCCUUUGGUGAUUCACUAUCCAGAACAGAAAGACACAUUCAUGACAGAGGAAGCAGCACCAACUCCUGCCGUGGCAGAGAAAAUAGCGCAAAAUCCUACCACGGCAGGAGCGACUCCAGGUUUAGUCUCAGCGCUAGUGCAAAAAGUGAAAACAAGGCAUGCCGGUGAUGGAAAUUCAGUUCCGCUCCAUCUUGAUCUGACGCCUCCAUCGUCGACACUAUCUCGUGGCACUGAUCCCUCUGACACACCUCUCACC
Molecule: ribosomal RNA, 1137 nt
Filed under: Triticum aestivum (bread wheat)
Lineage: Eukaryota; Viridiplantae; Streptophyta; Magnoliopsida; Poales; Poaceae
Description: partial small subunit ribosomal RNA
Source: RNAcentral